AUUGAACGCUGGCGGCAUGCCUUACACAUGCAAGUCGAACGGUAACAGGUCUUCGGAUGUUGACGAGUGGCGAACGGGUGAGUAAUACAUCGGAACGUGCCCAGACGUGGGGGAUAACGAGGCGAAAGCUUUGCUAAUACCGCAUACGAUCUAAGGAUGAAAGCAGGGGACCGCAAGGCCUUGUGCGUUUGGAGCGGCCGAUGGCAGAUUAGGUAGUUGGUGGGAUAAAAGCUUACCAAGCCGACGAUCUGUAGCUGGUCUGAGAGGACGACCAGCCACACUGGGACUGAGACACGGCCCAGACUCCUACGGGAGGCAGCAGUGGGGAAUUUUGGACAAUGGGCGAAAGCCUGAUCCAGCAAUGCCGCGUGCAGGAUGAAGGCCUUCGGGUUGUAAACUGCUUCUGUACGGAACGAAAAGGCUCUGGCUAAUACCUGGGGCACAUGACGGUACCGUAAGAAUAAGCACCGGCUAACUACGUG
This 482-nucleotide ribosomal RNA is filed under the name uncultured bacterium. Its description in RNAcentral is "partial 16S ribosomal RNA". It matches the Rfam family "Bacterial small subunit ribosomal RNA", at positions 30 to 507 of the family's 1533-position model. The record is from RNAcentral.